RNAcentral lists this ribosomal RNA (382 nucleotides) under uncultured marine eukaryote. Its description in RNAcentral is "SSU rRNA". It matches the Rfam family "Eukaryotic small subunit ribosomal RNA", at positions 613 to 999 of the family's 1831-position model. The record is from RNAcentral.
UUGCGGUUAAAAAGCUCGUAGUUGGAUUUCUGCCGAGGACGACCGGUCCGCCCUCUGGGUGAGCAUCUGGCUCGGCCUGGGCAUCUUCUUGGAGAACGUAUCUGCACUUGACUGUGUGGUGCGGUAUCCAGGACUUUUACUUUGAGGAAAUUAGAGUGUUUCAAGCAGGCAUACGCCUUGAAUACAUUAGCAUGGAAUAAUAAGAUAGGACCUCGGUUCUAUUUUGUUGGUUUCUAGAGCUGAGGUAAUGAUUAAUAGGGAUAGUUGGGGGCAUUCGUAUUUAACUGUCAGAGGUGAAAUUCUUGGAUUUGUUAAAGACUAACUUAUGCGAAAGCAUUUGCCAAGGAUGUUUUCAUUAAUCAAGAACGAAAGUUAGGGGAUC